UCCUCGAAGCUGUCCUUGGCGC
RNAcentral lists this non-coding RNA (22 nucleotides) under Arabidopsis thaliana (thale cress). The record is from RNAcentral. Lineage: Eukaryota; Viridiplantae; Streptophyta; Magnoliopsida; Brassicales; Brassicaceae.